RNAcentral lists this small nucleolar RNA (70 nucleotides) under Cyprinus carpio (common carp). RNAcentral's name for it is "partial U20 snoRNA". The record is from RNAcentral. Lineage: Eukaryota; Metazoa; Chordata; Actinopteri; Cypriniformes; Cyprinidae.
CAGAGAUGAUGACAGCUUUUCACUUUCCCGAACUCUCGUGUGGGCUUACGAUAGUCAAGUGCUGAUCUGG